RNAcentral lists this long non-coding RNA (699 nucleotides) under Theobroma cacao (cacao). RNAcentral describes it as "long non-coding RNA (TCAC_LNC001378)". The record is from RNAcentral. Lineage: Eukaryota; Viridiplantae; Streptophyta; Magnoliopsida; Malvales; Malvaceae.
CUCGUCACAUUUCCAACAUCUUGCCCAUUAUGCAUUCCUGACUGAGCCUACACGCAGCCAUUCCAUUCACACUCCACUAAAUAAAUAGUAACUCCAAAACUUAUCAUCCCCUUCCAUCAAAUUUCCCGCUUUGAUGUCUCAACAUGAGCAACAUGUUUUGGCCGCCCAAAAUAACGGAUUUUCAAUACCCAAAUGAAAAUAAGAUUUUAAGCAAUCAAAACUAAUCAUAAUUGAGAUACAAAAAGAUAUUAACAAUGUAUAAUUAAGAACAUCAAGAAAUUAACAACAAAAUUCCAACAUGCUUCUCUGUCAUAGACUUAUCGAGGAAAAAAUCAUAAUUCCCCUACGCUAAAUGAAAAAGAUCAUCAAUUUACCGAGAAAACCAAUUGAAAAGAAAAACAACUUUUACCUCCCCAAAAUAAACGAUUCACAAUUUUUGAGACAAUCUCGCAUAAUUCAGGUAAAGAAUCAGAGCAAAUUAGCAGGAAACUUAACAGCGCAUACAGUAAAUUAACCGUCCAUAAAAUUUGAAAAAAAUAAAAUAAAAAUGCUAACUUUUGCUGAGGUUGGUUGAAUUCCCAAGCUAAUCUAGGCCUCUUCCUGGGACGGCGAUCCAUGUGAGUAUGAGGAAACUCCGUAAAAUAAUCCAUCUCCAUCUCAAUCGAGACCCUAACCCUAAUUGUUUUUCCGAUUUUAUCG